Molecule: ribosomal RNA, 402 nt
Filed under: Rhodobacter sp. TCRI 14
Lineage: Bacteria; Pseudomonadati; Pseudomonadota; Alphaproteobacteria; Rhodobacterales
Description: bacterial SSU rRNA
Rfam family: Bacterial small subunit ribosomal RNA
Source: RNAcentral
UGGGGAAUCUUAGACAAUGGGCGCAAGCCUGAUCUAGCCAUGCCGCGUGAGCGAUGAAGGCCUUAGGGUUGUAAAGCUCUUUCGUGGGGGAAGAUAAUGACUGUACCCCAAGAAGAAGCCCCGGCUAACUCCGUGCCAGCAGCCGCGGUAAUACGGAGGGGGCUAGCGUUGUUCGGAAUUACUGGGCGUAAAGCGCACGUAGGCGGACUGGAAAGUCAGGGGUGAAAUCCCGGGGCUCAACCCCGGAACUGCCUUUGAAACUCCCAGUCUUGAGGUCGAGAGAGGUGAGUGGAAUUCCGAGUGUAGAGGUGAAAUUCGUAGAUAUUCGGAGGAACACCAGUGGCGAAGGCGGCUCACUGGCUCGAUACUGACGCUGAGGUGCGAAAGCGUGGGGAGCAAACA